UACGGGGGGUGCAAGCGUUGUUCGGAAUUACUGGGCGUAAAGGGCUCGUAGGCGGCCAAGGAAGUCAGACGUGAAAUCCCUCGGCUUAACCGGGGAACUGCGUCUGAUACUGGAUGGCUUGAGUUUGGGAGAGGGAUGCGGAAUUCCAGGUGUAGCGGUGAAAUGCGUAGAUAUCUGGAGGAACACCGGUGGCGAAGGCGGCCACCUGGACGGUAACUGACGCUGAGACGCGAAAGCGUGGGGAGCAAACAGG
Molecule: ribosomal RNA, 253 nt
Filed under: uncultured bacterium
Lineage: Bacteria
Description: partial 16S ribosomal RNA
Rfam family: Bacterial small subunit ribosomal RNA
Source: RNAcentral